AUCAAACGCGCCAAACUUUUUCUCUUUUUAAUAACUUUUCCCAAAUUUUUAGCGCACUAUUUAGUAACCAUUGUGGCUAGGGUUUUUCUUAUCAGCGUCCUCCUUAUUGCAUCGUAUUGGAUCGGAGAAGAACCGAAUGGAGUUUCCGCUGCAUUUCUCAAUAUUAUUUCUAAUUUAAGUGGUUCAGAUGAGGCAAGUUGCUCAAGACUUAUGGAUGACAUCACGGAUGAGCAUGAUUAAACCAACAUAGGUGGUAAUAUGGUUCAUCAAUGCACAAGUUACUGGAAGAAAAUUUGCUUUUAGGGUUGUUAUUAGAAAAGAAAUUAUGACUCUGGAAAUGUUCUUAUUCUUUUUUGUAAGUAAAAACAUAUGUUUUAGCGGUACUUAGUUUUUGAAGGUAUGUAAAUACUUAGUGCUUCAGUUGUAUUGACUUUUGCAAAUAUAUAUCAUAUAUCAAUUUAUAUA
This is a long non-coding RNA of Nicotiana attenuata, 465 nucleotides long. RefSeq lists it as uncharacterized. NCBI's taxonomy places the organism in Eukaryota, Viridiplantae, Streptophyta, Magnoliopsida, Solanales, Solanaceae. The record is from RefSeq and is a predicted model, not a curated record. The transcript is spliced from 3 exons.